Molecule: RNA transcript, 2181 nt
Organism: Panicum virgatum (switchgrass)
Lineage: Eukaryota; Viridiplantae; Streptophyta; Magnoliopsida; Poales; Poaceae
Gene name: glycine oxidase-like
Exons: 11
Source: RefSeq, a predicted model, not a curated record
CCGUUGACUCGUCACUCCCUCGGCCGCCCACCAACCUCUGUCUCGUCGAGCUCAUCGGCUCCUCGCAAGCACCACCAGAUCACCUGGCCAGCCGCCGCGUCACUCCGGCCUCCGCUGUCAAUGGAUGCUGCCAUCGCGUUCACUUCCGCUCGGAACCCUAGCCCCACGCGCUUCUCCUCCUCCUCCUCCCCCGCUUCGCCGUCCUCGCACUUCCCCCAACGCCUCUGCGUCUGCAGCCCAUGGCGCGGGCGCGAGCGCCGGCUCCGCGCGCUCCGCCCUCAAUCCCAGAUCCAGGCCCCCGGGGCCACGUCCGCCGACACCUCCAACCACGAUGUGGUGGUCGUGGGGGCCGGAAUCGUCGGACUCACGAUCGCGCGCCACCUCCUCCUCCACACUCCGCUCUCCGUCGCCGUCGCUGACGCCGCCGUCCCCUGCUCCGGCGCCACUGGCGCAGGGCAGGGAUACAUAUGGAUGUCGCACCGGAUGCCCGGCAGUGACAUGUGGGAGCUAGCGGCGCGGAGCAAGCAGCUGUGGGAGGAGCUCGCGGCCGAGGUUGACGGCCAGGGCGGCGGCGGUGCGCGGGAGAAGCUGGGCUGGAUGAGGACAGCCUUAAAAUGCUCCAAGUGGGAAAAACGCCUAGGUGCUAGGCGAGGCAGUGGUGGACUGGUGAUCAGCUCCACGUAUGCAGAAGGGUUCACCUUUCGAAAACAGAGACGCUUGCUAGUUGGCAGAACUUCGGAAGAACUGGCCACAUUGGAGGAAAGGACCAAGGUUCUGUCCGAGGCAGGCAUACAUGCGGAAUUCUUGUCUGCCUCUUCACUACAUGCAUUAGAACCAGCACUCAGUGUUGAGAAAGAUGGUGGUGCUAUGUUCUUGCCUCAAGACUGCCAGAUUGAUGCGUUCCAGGCUGUCUCUUUGAUCGAAAAGACCAAUAACUCAUAUUCCUCAGAAGGAAGGUAUAUGGAGAUCUAUAAUGAUCCUGCCAUGUCAUUAAUAAGAUCGGAGGUUACUGGAACAGUUGAAGCUGUCCAAACUUCCAGAAACAUAUUGUAUGGCAGAAAAGCUAUUGUAAUUGCUUCUGGUGCCUGGACUCGAUCCUUAUUACAUAGUUUUCUCGAACCAGCUUUGACAUUGGAUAUUCCUGUCAAGCCCCGAAAGGGCCAUCUUCUUGUGGUGGAGAAUUUUGACAAGGUUAAGCUAAAUCAUGCCCUAAUGGAGGUAGGAUAUGUUGACCAUCAGGUUGCUAAGUCAAAUCACACACACAUGGCUUCAGAGUCUAGUGAAGAUGAGCAUGGUGCUUUAUCUAUAUCAAUGACUGCAACCGUAGAUGCAAAGGGAAAUUUGGUUCUAGCUGUUUGUUACAGGAAGCAGUCGGGAGUUCAAAGGGUUUUCAAGGGAGGUUGAUAAAUCAGUUGUUAAGUGUAUAUGGGAACGUGCAGGAGAGUUCUUUCCUGCAAUGAAGAAUGUUCCUCUUGAUAUUGAUCACAAUACACAGAUCAGAAUCGGGCAUCGCCCAUACAUGCCUGAUGGAAAGCCAGUUAUUGGCUUUAUUCCUGAUCUGCCAAAUGUUUUGAUUGCAACAGGACAUGAAGGAAAUGGGCUUACUAUGGCACUCGGCACUGCUGAAAUGGUCACUGAUAUGAUUCUUGGGAAUCCUGGAAAAGUGGACUGCUCACCUUUCUCCAUCAAACACAGAUUUUCAGGUUGACCGUUUAUCCGGAAGCCCUCCUUCAGCUCCUCAAGUGACAAAUUACCGUCAUUGUCCUUGUCCAUCGUAUUGAACAUCUGAGUGUAUUUGUCAAUCUCUUCCACUGGUAGAUUCAUGGCGACAACCUCCAUUCAUAAUUAGAAAUCGCUUCACAUUUAGUGUGUCGCACUUGAAGGAAAUAAGGGUACAAACAGCUAGUUAUCUGCAACUUACUCCAAGUGCCUUCUUCUUGAACUUGUUCAUGGACGAGAACUGCUUCAGACUGGACCGAACAACCUCCCCGAGUGACACAUUUGAAGCCUUAUCAGCAUUUUUGAGCCAAGGAUGCUCUGUGUUUUUAGGAGGGAAACUUGAGUCACAGUUCAGUAUGCAGCAUUGUUGGGCCGCGCUUUCCAAUAAUGCCAAUAAUAAACCAGAAGUUACCAAACUCUUAGUAUGCCUUUCCAUGAAUGGAAUGCCGUCUGCUCUUUCCA